GUUUGAUCCUGGCUCAGAGCGAACGUUAGCGGCAGGCUUAACACAUGCAAGUCGAGCGACAAAGGGGCUUCGGCCCUGAGUAGAGCGGCGGACGGGUGCGUAACACGUGGAUAAUCUGCCUCGUGGCGGGGGAUAACAGUCCGAAAGGACUGCUAAUACCGCAUGUCAGGUCGGAAACCCCGGUUUCUGACGAAAAGAGGGCGCCCGCAAGGGGCUCUCACCACGAGAUGAGUCCGCGGCCCAUCAGCUAGUUGGCGGUGUAAUAGACCACCAAGGCUAAGACGGGUAGCUGGUCUGAGAGGAUGACCAGCCACACUGGGACUGAGACACGGCCCAGACUCCUACGGGAGGCAGCAGUGGGGAAUAUUGGACAAUGGGCGAAAGCCUGAUCCAGCCAUGCCGCGUGAGUGAUGAAGGGUCUUCGGAUCGUAAAGCUCUGUGGAGGGACGAAAAGACUAACCUAA
Molecule: ribosomal RNA, 464 nt
Filed under: uncultured bacterium
Lineage: Bacteria
Description: bacterial SSU rRNA
Rfam family: Bacterial small subunit ribosomal RNA
Source: RNAcentral